RNAcentral lists this ribosomal RNA (266 nucleotides) under uncultured bacterium. Its description in RNAcentral is "partial 16S ribosomal RNA". It matches the Rfam family "Bacterial small subunit ribosomal RNA", at positions 99 to 354 of the family's 1533-position model. The record is from RNAcentral.
CGAACGGGUGGAGUAACAACGUGGGGCGAACCUAGCCCAAAANAGGGGAGUAACACUUGGAAACAGGUGCUAAUACCGCAUAACCAUAGUUACCGCAUGGUAACUAUGUAAAAGGUGGCUAUGCUACCGCUUUUGGAUGGGCCCGCGGCGCAUUAGCUAGUUGGUGGGGUAAAGGCUUACCAAGGCAAUGAUGCGUAGCCGAACUGAGAGGUUGAUCGGCCACAUUGGGACUGAGACACGGCCCAAACUCCUACGGGAGGCAGCAG